Molecule: unclassified non-coding RNA, 345 nt
Filed under: soil metagenome
Description: partial contains 5.8S ribosomal RNA, internal transcribed spacer 2, and large subunit ribosomal RNA
Rfam family: 5.8S ribosomal RNA (bases 1-119)
Source: RNAcentral
GAUGAAGAACGUAGCGAAAUGCGAUACGUAAUGUGAAUUGCAAAUUCAGUGAAUCAUCGAGUCUUUGAACGCACAUUGCGCCCCCUGGUAUUCCGGGGGGCAUGCCUGUCCGAGCGUCAUUGCUGCCCUCAAGCACGGCUUGUGUGUUGGGCCCCGUCCUCCGAUCCCGGGGGACGGGCCCGAAAGGCAGCGGCGGCACCGCGUCCGGUCCUCGAGCGUAUGGGGCUUUGUCACCCGCUCUGUAGGCCCGGCCGGCGCUUGCCGAUCAACCCAAAUUUUUAUCCAGGAUGACCUCGGAUCAGGUAGGGAUACCCGCUGAACUUAAGCAUAUCAAUAAGCGGAGGA